AAUUCUGUGGAUGAAUACCAGCCAGGGAGGAGUGAUUCGGGGGAGCAAAUCACAUUUGAGCAGACAUCUGACCCUUACUGAGUAGAACUGUGGUGUGGGCGAAGGCUGCAGAUGGUGAGCGACAUGAAGUGCGGUCAGUGGCACAAAGCACAAGGUGCCCAGAGCAUGCCGGAGAGGGAAUUCAGUCUGCUGUGGUGGAGUUUCAUCAGUUUUCAUGAGGUGAUGUCACCAGACUGUCUCUUUUAAUUGUUGAGGGCAGCGCUGCAGUACUGAUUCUCAUUAUCUACAGGGAAAUGCUUUCCAAAAGAAAAAAGGUCUCCUGCUCUAUCUUCUCCAGCAGGCUGCACAGAAAAAAACGGUGAGAUGUUCUUACAAAAGGUGACGAGCACAGGAAGGAAACAGAUAUGAAUCACAGCGUGUCCUAGUCUUAACUGUGAGGGCAUUCCACCUCACCUUGGAUAAGGACCAAACAGCUGGGUCCUGCAGUGUGACAGCCAAACACACAGAGAAGAAUGUUAGAGGGGAAACACUAUGAGAGCAGCAUUAUUCUGGAUAUCACUCCACAGGCUCACUAAACA
Epinephelus moara (kelp grouper) is the source of this 578-nucleotide long non-coding RNA. RefSeq lists it as uncharacterized. The transcript is spliced from 4 exons. NCBI's taxonomy places the organism in Eukaryota, Metazoa, Chordata, Actinopteri, Perciformes, Serranidae. The record is from RefSeq and is a predicted model, not a curated record.